GGAAUAUUGCACAAUGGGGGAAACCCUGAUGCAGCGACGCCGCGUGAGUGAAGAAGUAUUUCGGUAUGUAAAGCUCUUUAAGCAGGAAAGAUAAUGACGGUACCUGCAGAAUAAGCACCGGCUAAAUACGUGCCAGCAGCCGCGGUAAUACGUAUGGUGCAAGCGUUAUCCGGAUUUACUGGGUGUAAAGGGAGCGUAGGUGGCUUGGCAAGCCAGAAGUGAAAACCCGGGGCUCAACCCCGCGGAUUGCUUUUGGAACUGUUGAGCUGGAGUGCAGGAGGGGUAAGCGGAAUUCCAAGUGUAGCGGUGAAAUGCAUAGAUAUUUGGAAGAACACCGGUGGCGAAGGCGGCUUACUGGACUGUAACUGACACUGAGGCUCGAAAGCGUGGGGAGCAAACA
RNAcentral lists this ribosomal RNA (400 nucleotides) under uncultured bacterium. RNAcentral's name for it is "bacterial SSU rRNA". It matches the Rfam family "Bacterial small subunit ribosomal RNA", at positions 358 to 774 of the family's 1533-position model. The record is from RNAcentral.